GGUGUGGUCUGGUGGAGGAGACCCUAACACUCUGUCCUUUGGAUUCUGAUGUAUCCUGGAGACUCCUUGGAAUUCUCUGUGAUGUCAUCUGUGUUGUGGCAACACAAACUGCCUUAAGCCUUCCGUCAGUGCCUACAGGUUUUACCCAUAAACAUGUUGGCAAGCCUGAGGAGUCUAAAUGGGAGAGAGACUGGAGAGCUUAGAGAGACCAGAGAGAAGCAAGCUGUCCUUCAAUCUCAAUGGACAUGAAGAAGAAACCAAUGGUUCUGGAAAAGGCACAGGCUCCUCAGGAGGCAUCAUCCGCACCCUCCCUCCCUCACUGAGCAGGAGCAGCACAGGAAGAAGCUGGAGAAACUGAUCCCUCAGCUACAGAAGAUGACCUGUGAGAGGGAUGAGCUGCAUAGUGCCCUGGCCCAUUGUACAAACAAGGAUUUGAACAACAGAUGCAGGUGCUUGGGUCCUGGUGGUUUUGGCAACAGCAGGAGAUGAGAGACCCCUGGGGGAGACCCCCACUCAAAUCUCGGGAGGACGUACACCCAAAGAAUCAC
This is a long non-coding RNA of Mastomys coucha (southern multimammate mouse), 548 nucleotides long. RefSeq lists it as uncharacterized. The transcript is spliced from 3 exons. NCBI's taxonomy places the organism in Eukaryota, Metazoa, Chordata, Mammalia, Rodentia, Muridae. The record is from RefSeq and is a predicted model, not a curated record.